UGGGGAAUAUUGCACAAUGGGGGGAACCCUGAUGCAGCAAUGCCGCGUGAGUGAAGAAGUAUUUCGGUAUGUAAAGCUCUAUCAGCAGGGAAGAAAAUGACGGUACCUGACUAAGAAGCCCCGGCUAACUACGUGCCAGCAGCCGCGGUAAUACGUAGGGGGCAAGCGUUAUCCGGAUUUACUGGGUGUAAAGGGGGCGCAGGCGGCAUGGCAAGUCAGAUGUGAAAACCCGAGGCUCAACUUCGGGAUUGCAUUUGAAACUGCCAAGCUGGAGUGCCGGAGAGGCAAGUGGAAUUCCUAGUGUAGCGGUGAAAUGCGUAGAUAUUAGGAGGAACACCAGUGGCGAAGGCGGCUUGCUGGACGGUAACUGACGCUGAGGCCCGAAAGCGUGGGGAGCAAACAGG
This 404-nucleotide ribosomal RNA is filed under the name uncultured bacterium. RNAcentral describes it as "bacterial SSU rRNA". It matches the Rfam family "Bacterial small subunit ribosomal RNA", at positions 355 to 776 of the family's 1533-position model. The record is from RNAcentral.